This 274-nucleotide ribosomal RNA is filed under the name uncultured bacterium. Its description in RNAcentral is "partial 16S ribosomal RNA". It matches the Rfam family "Bacterial small subunit ribosomal RNA", at positions 523 to 796 of the family's 1533-position model. The record is from RNAcentral.
AUACGGAGGGUGCAAGCGUGAUUCGGAAUCACUGGGCGUAAAGGACGCGUAGGCGGGUUGGCAAGUCAGAUGUGAAAUCCUACAGCUUAACUGUAGAACUGCAUUUGAAACUGCUAACCUAGAGUAUGGGAGGGGGAGAUGGAAUUAGUGGUGUAGGGGUAAAAUCCGUAGAUAUCACUAGGAAUACCGAAAGCGAAGGCGAUCUCCUGGAACAUAACUGACGCUAAGGCGUGAAAGCGUGGGGAGCAAACAGGAUUAGAAACCCUAGUAGUCC